RNAcentral lists this ribosomal RNA (432 nucleotides) under uncultured bacterium. Its description in RNAcentral is "partial 16S ribosomal RNA". It matches the Rfam family "Bacterial small subunit ribosomal RNA", at positions 338 to 795 of the family's 1533-position model. The record is from RNAcentral.
CCUACGGGUGGCAGCAGUGGGGAAUAUUGGACAAUGGGGGCAACCCUGAUCCAGCAAUGCCGCGUGUGUGAAGAAGGCCUUCGGGUUGUAAAGCACUUUGGGUGGGGAAGCGGUACCCGCAGAACAAGCACCGGCUAACUCUGUGCCAGCAGCCGCGGUAAUACAGAGGGUGCGAGCGUUAAUCGGAGUUACUGGGCGUAAAGGGCGCGUAGGCGGUUAUACAAGUGAGAUGUGAAAUCCCCGGGCUUAACCUGGGAACUGCAUUUUAGACUGUAUGACUGGAGUACUGUAGAGGAUAGUGGAAUUUCCGGUGUAGCGGUGAAAUGCGUAGAGAUCGGAAGGAACACCAGUGGCGAAGGCGACUGUCUGGACAGAACUGACGCUGAGGCGCGAAAGCGUGGGGAGCAAACAGGAUUAGAUACCCCAGUAGUC